Molecule: ribosomal RNA, 460 nt
Filed under: uncultured bacterium
Lineage: Bacteria
Description: partial 16S ribosomal RNA
Rfam family: Bacterial small subunit ribosomal RNA
Source: RNAcentral
CCUACGGGUGGCAGCAGUGAGGAAUAUUGGUCAAUGGUCGUAAGACUGAACCAGCCAAGCAGCGUGCAGGAUGACGGCCCUAUGGGUUGUAAACUGCUUUUAUGCGGGGGUAAAAUCAGUCACGUGUGAUGGUUUGUAAGUACCGCACGAAUAAGGACCGGCUAAUUCCGUGCCAGCAGCCGCGGUAAUACGGAGGGUCCGGGCGUUAUCCGGAUUUAUUGGGUUUAAAGGGUGCGUAGGCGGCCUGUUAAGUGAGCCGUGAAAUGCCGUGGCUCAACUAGGGCAUUGCGGCGGAUACUGGCUGGCUUGAGUGUGCGGGAGGUAUGCGGAAUGCGUGGUGUAGCGGUGAAAUGCUUAGAGAUCAUGAAGAACACCGAUUGCGAAGGCAGCAUACGGAAGCACUACUGACGUUGAAGCACGAAGGCGUGGGGAGCGAACAGGAUUAGAUACCCGUGUAGUC